Molecule: ribosomal RNA, 519 nt
Filed under: Rhodococcus sp. NFOD1
Lineage: Bacteria; Bacillati; Actinomycetota; Actinomycetes; Mycobacteriales; Nocardiaceae
Description: bacterial SSU rRNA
Rfam family: Bacterial small subunit ribosomal RNA
Source: RNAcentral
GCAGCGACGCCGCGUAAGGGAUGACGGCCUUCGGGUUGUAAACCAUUUCAGCAGGGACGAAGCGCAAGUGACGGUACCUGCAGAAGAAGCACCGGCCAACUACGUGCCAGCAGCCGCGGUAAUACGUAGGGUGCGAGCGUUGUCCGGAAUUACUGGGCGUAAAGAGCUCGUAGGCGGUUUGUCGCGUCGUCUGUGAAAUCCCGCAGCUCAACUGCGGGCUUGCAGGCGAUACGGGCAGACUCGAGUACUGCAGGGGAGACUGGAAUUCCUGGUGUAGCGGUGAAAUGCGCAGAUAUCAGGAGGAACACCGGUGGCGAAGGCGGGUCUCUGGGCAGUAACUGACGCUGAGGAGCGAAAGCGUGGGUAGCGAACAGGAUUAGAUACCCUGGUAGUCCACGCCGUAAACGGUGGGCGCUAGGUGUGGGUUUCCUUCCACGGGAUCCGUGCCGUAGCCAACGCAUUAAGCGCCCCGCCUGGGGAGUACGGCCGCAAGGCUAAAACUCAAAGGAAUUGACGGGG